Molecule: ribosomal RNA, 254 nt
Filed under: uncultured bacterium
Lineage: Bacteria
Description: partial 16S ribosomal RNA
Rfam family: Bacterial small subunit ribosomal RNA
Source: RNAcentral
UACGUAGGGGCCUAGCGUUGUCCGGAUUUAUUGGGCGUAAAGAGCUCGUAGGCGGUUCGGCAAGUUGGAUGUGAAAUCUCCACGCUCAACGUGGAGCGGCCAUCCGAAACUGCUGUGACUCGAGUCCGGUAGGGGAGUGUGGAAUUCCCGGUGUAGCGGUGAAAUGCGCAGAUAUCGGGAGGAACACCGAUGGCGAAGGCAGCUCGCUGGGACGGUACUGACGCUGAGGCGCGAAAGCGUGGGGAGCGAACAGG